RNAcentral lists this ribosomal RNA (212 nucleotides) under uncultured bacterium. RNAcentral describes it as "partial 16S ribosomal RNA". It matches the Rfam family "Bacterial small subunit ribosomal RNA", at positions 142 to 353 of the family's 1533-position model. The record is from RNAcentral.
GAUAGCCUUUCGAAAGAAAGAUUAAUACCCGAUGGCAUAGUUCUUCCGCAUGGUGGAACUAUUAAAGAAUUUCGGUCAUCGAUGGGGAUGCGUUCCAUUAGGUUGUUGGCGGGGUAACGGCCCACCAAGCCUUCGAUGGAUAGGGGUUCUGAGAGGAAGGUCCCCCACAUUGGAACUGAGACACGGUCCAAACUCCUACGGGAGGCAGCAUG